Molecule: ribosomal RNA, 253 nt
Filed under: uncultured bacterium
Lineage: Bacteria
Description: partial 16S ribosomal RNA
Rfam family: Bacterial small subunit ribosomal RNA
Source: RNAcentral
UACGAAGGGGGCUAGCGUUGCUCGGAAUUACUGGGCGUAAAGCGCGUGUAGGCGGCCGAGCAAGUCGGAUGUGAAAUCCCAUGGCUCAACCAUGGAAGUGCACCCGAAACUGCUCGGCUUGAGUCUCGGAGAGGAAGGUGGAAUGCUCGGUGUAGAGGUGAAAUUCGUAGAUAUCGAGCGGAACACCGGUGGCGAAGGCGGCCUUCUGGACGAUGACUGACGCUGAGACGCGAAAGCGUGGGGAGCAAACAGG